RNAcentral lists this ribosomal RNA (542 nucleotides) under Incrucipulum radiatum (nom. inval.). RNAcentral describes it as "eukaryotic LSU rRNA". It matches the Rfam family "Eukaryotic large subunit ribosomal RNA", at positions 73 to 629 of the family's 3401-position model. The record is from RNAcentral. Lineage: Eukaryota; Fungi; Ascomycota; Leotiomycetes; Helotiales; Lachnaceae.
GAUUACCUCAGUAACGGCGAGUGAAGCGGUAACAGCUCAAAUUUGAAAUCUGGUCCUUUCAGGGCCCGAGUUGUAAUUUGUAGAAGAUGCUUUGGGUGUGGCCCCGGUCUAAGUUCCUUGGAACAGGACGUCAUAGAGGGUGAGAAUCCCGUAUGUGACUGGGUGCUUUCGCCCGUGUAAAGCUCUUUCGACGAGUCGAGUUGUUUGGGAAUGCAGCUCAAAAUGGGUGGUAAAUUUCAUCUAAAGCUAAAUAUUGGCCAGAGACCGAUAGCGCACAAGUAGAGUGAUCGAAAGAUGAAAAGCACUUUGGAAAGAGAGUUAAACAGUACGUGAAAUUGUUGAAAGGGAAGCGCUUGCAACCAGACUCGCAUGCCGUCGAUCAUCCUGGGUUCUCCCUGGUGCACUCGGCGGCGUUCGGGCCAGCAUCGGUUUCGGUGGUGGGAUAAAGGCCUUGGGAACGUAGCUCCUCUCGGGGAGUGUUAUAGCCCUCGGUGCAAUGCCGCCUACCGGGACCGAGGACCGCGCUUCGGCUAGGAUGCUGG